RNAcentral lists this ribosomal RNA (253 nucleotides) under uncultured bacterium. Its description in RNAcentral is "partial 16S ribosomal RNA". It matches the Rfam family "Bacterial small subunit ribosomal RNA", at positions 524 to 776 of the family's 1533-position model. The record is from RNAcentral.
UACGGAGGGGGCGAGCGUUAUUCGGAAUUAUUGGGCGUAAAGGGCGCGUAGGCGGCCCGGUAAGUCAAAGGUGAAAUCCCUCGGCUCAACUGAGGAACUGCCUUUGAAACUGUCGGGCUUGAGGCCGGGAGGGGGUAGCGGAAUUCCCAGUGUAGCGGUGAAAUGCGUAGAUAUUGGGAGGAACACCGGUGGCGAAGGCGGCUACCUGGACCGGUUCUGACGCUGAUGCGCGAAAGCGUGGGUAGCAAACAGG